Molecule: transfer RNA, 68 nt
Filed under: Metaphycus eriococci
Lineage: Eukaryota; Metazoa; Arthropoda; Insecta; Hymenoptera; Encyrtidae
Description: tRNA-Cys
Source: RNAcentral
UGUUUAAUAAUUUAAUAAUAAAAUGAUAAAGUGCAAAUUUAUUUAUAUUUCUUUUGAAAUUUAAACAU